AGUGAACGCUGGCGGUAGGCCUAACACAUGCAAGUCGAACGGCAGCACAGUAAGAGCUUGCUCUUACGGGUGGCGAGUGGCGGACGGGUGAGGAAUACAUCGGAAUCUACUUUUUCGUGGGGGAUAACGUAGGGAAACUUACGCUAAUACCGCAUACGACCUACGGGUGAAAGCAGGGGAUCUUCGGACCUUGCGCGAAUGAAUGAGCCGAUGUCGGAUUAGCUAGUUGGCGGGGUAAAGGCCCACCAAGGCGACGAUCCGUAGCUGGUCUGAGAGGAUGAUCGGCCACAUUGGAACUGGGACAGGGUCCAUACUCCUACGGGAGGCAGCAGUGGGGAAUAUUGGGCAAUGGGCGCGAGCCUUAUCCAGCCAUACCGCGUGGGUGAAGAAGGCCUUCGGGUUGUAAAGCCCUUUUGUUGGGAAAGAAAAGCAGCAGGUUAAUACCCCGCUGUUCUGACGGUACCCAAUGAAUAAGCACCGGCUAACUUCGUG
Molecule: ribosomal RNA, 492 nt
Filed under: uncultured bacterium
Lineage: Bacteria
Description: partial 16S ribosomal RNA
Rfam family: Bacterial small subunit ribosomal RNA
Source: RNAcentral